AUCGAUGAAGAACGCAGCGAAAUGCGAUAAGUAAUGUGAAUUGCAGAAUUCAGUGAAUCAUCGAAUCUUUGAACGCACCUUGCGCUCCUUGGUAUUCCGAGGAGCAUGCCUGUUUGAGUGUCUUGAAGUCAUCAACCCCUUACGUUUCGUGCGGAUUGGGUUGGAUGUGGGGGCUCUGCUGCCGUGAGGCGGCUCCCCUCAAAUGCAUCGGUUGGGCCUGUGGGUCGAACUCGACUGGGCGUUGUACCAUCCUCGCUCGACAGAGACGUUCCCCUCUUGUGCCCUUCCCCGACCUGCCUCUCAGAGUGGCGGUCACAAGCAAAGCUUUGAAAUCUGACCUCAAAUCAGGUAGGACUACCCGCUGAACUUAAGCAUAUCAAUAAGCGGAGGAAAAGAAACUAACAAGGAUUCCCCUAGUAACUGCGAGUGAAGCGGGAAAAGCUCAAAUUUGAAAUCUGGCGGUCCCACCGUCCGAGUUGUAUUCUGGAGAAGCGUUUUCCGUGCCGGACCGUGUACAAGUGCCUUGGAACAGGACGUCAUAGAGGGUGAGAAUCCCGUCUUUGACACGGACCCCCGGUGCUAUGCGAUGCGCUCUCGAAGAGUCGAGUUGUUUGGGAAUGCAGCUCAAAAUGGGUGGUAAAUUCCAUCUAAAGCUAAAUAUUGGCGAGAGACCGAUAGCGAACAAGUACCGUGAGGGAAAGAUGAAAAGCACUUUGGAAAGAGAGUAAAACAGUACGUGAAAUUGUUGAAAGGGAAACGCUUGAAGUCAGUCGCGUCUGCCGGAACUCAGCCUUGCUUCUGCUUGGUGCACUUUCCGGCUUGACGGGCCAGCAUCGGUUUCGAGCGGCGGACACUGGCGAGGGGAAGGUGGCAGCUCCGGCUGUGUUAUAGCCCCUCGUCGCAAACGCCGCCCGGGACCGAGGAAUCCGGCGCAAGCCUGGGAUGCUGGCGUAAUGGCUUUAAACGACCCGUCUUGAAACACGG
Molecule: ribosomal RNA, 984 nt
Filed under: uncultured fungus
Lineage: Eukaryota; Fungi
Description: eukaryotic LSU rRNA
Rfam family: Eukaryotic large subunit ribosomal RNA (bases 335-984)
Source: RNAcentral